This 342-nucleotide ribosomal RNA is filed under the name uncultured bacterium. Its description in RNAcentral is "partial 16S ribosomal RNA". It matches the Rfam family "Bacterial small subunit ribosomal RNA", at positions 338 to 695 of the family's 1533-position model. The record is from RNAcentral.
CCUACGGGAGGCUGCAGUGGGGAAUAUUGGGCAAUGGGCGCAAGCCGGACCCAGCAACGCCGCGUGAAGGAAGAAGGAUUUCGGGUUGUAAACUUCUUUUCUGGGGGACGAACAAAUGACGGUACCCCAGGAAUAAGCCACGGCUACCUACGUGCGAGCAGCCGCGGUAAUUCGUAGGUGGCAAUCGUUAUGCGGAGUUAUGGGGGGGAAAGAGCGGGUAUGCGGGAAGUCAAGUCAGAUGUGAAAACGCAGGGCUCAACCCUGAGCCUGCAUUGGACACUGUGUUUCUUGAGUGCUGGAGAGGCAGUCGGAAUUCCGUGUGGAGCGGUGAAAUGCGUAGAU